This 671-nucleotide long non-coding RNA is filed under the name Homo sapiens (human). RNAcentral's name for it is "HSALNT0149907". The record is from RNAcentral. Lineage: Eukaryota; Metazoa; Chordata; Mammalia; Primates; Hominidae.
UUUGUUUAACACAUAAUCAAGAAAUAACCAUAAGUAUCAACAGUGGAACAGCCCAUGCUGCUGCUCUGCCUAUGGAGUAGCCAUUCUUUAUUCCCUUACUUUCUUAAUAAACUCGCUUUCACUUUAUGGAUUCAACUGUAAUUCUUUCUUGUGUGAGAUCCAAGAACCUUCUUGUAGGGUCUGGAUUGGGACCCUUUUCUGGUAACAUCUUCCUGGUGACCAUGAAGGGACAAUACUGAAGAGACCCCUGACCCUAAGGAAAUAGACUGCAGCACCAAUGGGCCAACUUUGGGUUUAUUUCUGCAAUUGAGACUAACUCUGCCUAUUCCUGUGAACCAACCAGUGAUCUCUGGCUGCUGCUCAGAAGAAACAAGAGGGAGGGAUGAAUAAUGUAAAACUCUGGAUCAAUAUUCUAAUUCUGAGCCUCUAUUGGAAUCAGCUAGCAACCACAUAUCAGCUUGGUUUCAACAGUUUCCCAGUUCAUGCUGCUGAGAAGUUCAGAGUCAAACCUGAAUCUCACCUCUGCAAAGAGCACAGGACUCCAUGGCAAACGUUGUAUAUACGCAAGUCAUCCCUGGCACCACAUUGAUUUACUGCACCAGGCUUUCUUCAUUGUGAUGAUGUUCUCUCUCUUUUCUAAAAAAAAAAUAAAAAUAAAAUUUAAAAAAUCC